UUGACCUCGGAUCAGGUAGGGAUACCCGCUGAACUUAAGCAUAUCAUAAACCGGAAGGAAAUUUGUAGUCGCCCGGUGUGCUGAUGCAUGCACUAAAUAAAUGUGUAUAUAUUUAUUUUUGUAAAAUUGAUAUACUGAAAUAUGCAACCUGAGACAGAAUAUAAAUGUUUCUU
RNAcentral lists this ribosomal RNA (173 nucleotides) under Pseudogymnoascus sp. HD1031. RNAcentral describes it as "partial 28S ribosomal RNA". Lineage: Eukaryota; Fungi; Ascomycota; Leotiomycetes; Thelebolales; Thelebolaceae. The record is from RNAcentral.